RNAcentral lists this transfer RNA (69 nucleotides) under Ictidomys tridecemlineatus (thirteen-lined ground squirrel). RNAcentral describes it as "Spermophilus tridecemlineatus (thirteen-lined ground squirrel) tRNA". It matches the Rfam family "tRNA". From Rfam's summary of the family: Transfer RNA (tRNA) molecules are approximately 80 nucleotides in length. Their secondary structure includes four short double-helical elements and three loops (D, anti-codon, and T loops). The record is from Rfam by way of RNAcentral. Lineage: Eukaryota; Metazoa; Chordata; Mammalia; Rodentia; Sciuridae.
GCAGUUGUGGCUCAGUGGUAGAGCACUUGUCUAGUAUGUGUGAGGCUGAGUUCUAUCCUCAGCACUGCA